Molecule: long non-coding RNA, 744 nt
Organism: Cydia pomonella (codling moth)
Lineage: Eukaryota; Metazoa; Arthropoda; Insecta; Lepidoptera; Tortricidae
Exons: 2
Source: RefSeq, a predicted model, not a curated record
UAAUAUGAUCAAAAUCGACCCGUCCACAUCCCUAAAAAUCCACACAUACACAUUUUUACGCACAUAUACAAAGCAGUAUAACCACCAAAAUGGCUACGGCUUGAGUAUUCAAAUUUGUAUUGAGAAAAGGCAACUAUAUCCUGUCUUUAUUUGCCCCUCUAUCGCUCGAAUAUGCAAUACGCAUGCACUCUUCGUCAAAAUCGGUUUCAAACUUUUUCGACUGAGUACGCGCAAUAAACGCCUAGUAGUAGUAUUUAAAUGUUUACCGUAUUCAUUUAAAGCAUCGUAGGACAAUGCCGCUAUGUAAACUGUAAGGUGGGUCUUAAAUUAGUGUGAGUUAUUUUGGCACCGGACUCAACCUUCACGUUACAAUAUUUAAAGUAUUGCGCUGUCAUAGUAACGAAAAUGAUAAACACGUCAAUCGGAGUAAACAAGUAACUAAAUGAUGCAAACAAGAAAAUAUUGCAAAAUAGGUACAUAUAUAUGUACCGAUAAUUAUUUUGUGUUAAAAAUAUGAGGCAAAUUAUACUGCCCGAUUAUACGGACUACAUAUUAAAAACGAUUAUCUUGGAAACAGUCAAUAGAUGUCGAACCACCAGCAAAGUUUUUGAAGAGGUGUAGUUCCUGGUAUCAACUGGAAACUGAAACUAAUAAUCUACACUCAAGAAAAUGAAAUAUAGUCACAGAAAACUUUAAUGUUUUAUUUUAUUAAAGAAAAACGUUAAAAAAAUGUGUAAACAGAAA